Oncorhynchus nerka (sockeye salmon) is the source of this 190-nucleotide long non-coding RNA. RefSeq lists it as uncharacterized. Lineage: Eukaryota; Metazoa; Chordata; Actinopteri; Salmoniformes; Salmonidae. The record is from RefSeq and is a predicted model, not a curated record. The transcript has 3 exons.
AUUCCCAUGAUGGACUUGACUGUGUCUUCCCUGCUGUCCAUGGUGGUUUACACCUGUUGUACCUGGGCCAUACCUGCUCAGAGUACCUCAGUGAGCUCCAAAAGGUUCCCUAAAAGUUAUUCAGAUGAUCACAUUAUACGCAGUGAGAUGACAGCGAUGGAUCAAAUCAUAGAGGCCAAUGAGUUCCAAG